GUUAUAUGGUCAAGCGAAUAAGCGCACACGGUGGAUGCCUAGGCGGUCAGAGGCGAUGAAGGACGUGGUAGCCUGCGAAAAGUGUCGGGGAGCUGGCAACAAGCUUUGAUCCGGCAAUAUCCGAAUGGGGAAACCCACUGCUUCGGCAGUAUCCUGCAGUGAAUUCAUAGCUGCUGGAAGCGAACCCGGUGAACUGAAAUAUCUAAGUAACCGGAGGAAAAGAAAUCAACCGAGAUUCCCUAAGUAGUGACGAGCGAACGGGGAGCAGCCCUUAAGCUGGAAUGGCUUUAGAAAAACAAUCUGGAAAGAUUGGCCAUAGAAGGUGAUAGCCCUGUAUUUAAAAGGGCCACUCCAGUGAAGACGAGUAGGGCGGGGCACGUGAAACCCUGUCUGAAUAUGGGGGGACCAUCCUCCAAGGCUAAAUACUCCUGACCGACCGAUAGUGAACCAGUACCGUGAGGGAAAGGCGAAAAGAACCCCGGAGAGGGGAGUGAAAUAGAUCCUGAAACCGUGUGCGUACAAGCAGUAGGAGCUCGCAAGAGUGACUGCGUACCUUUUGUAUAAUGGGUCAGCGACUUACUGUUCGUGGCAAGCUUAACCGUAUAGGGGAGGCGAAGGGAAACCGAGUCUGAUAAGGGCGCAUAGUCGCGGGCAGUAGACCCGAAACCGGGUGAUCUAGUCAUGGCCAGGGUGAAGGUGCCGUAACAGGUACUGGAGGCCCGAACCCACGUCUGUUGCAAAAGA
RNAcentral lists this ribosomal RNA (744 nucleotides) under Pseudomonas avellanae. RNAcentral's name for it is "bacterial LSU rRNA". It matches the Rfam family "Bacterial large subunit ribosomal RNA", at positions 1 to 798 of the family's 2925-position model. Lineage: Bacteria; Pseudomonadati; Pseudomonadota; Gammaproteobacteria; Pseudomonadales; Pseudomonadaceae. The record is from RNAcentral.